Molecule: ribosomal RNA, 253 nt
Filed under: uncultured bacterium
Lineage: Bacteria
Description: partial 16S ribosomal RNA
Rfam family: Bacterial small subunit ribosomal RNA
Source: RNAcentral
UGUGACCUACGGGGCGCAGCAGUGGGGAAUAUUGGGCAAUGGGCGCAAGCCUGACCCAGCAACGCCGCGUGAAGGAAGAAGGCUUUCGGGUUGUAAACUUCUUUUCUGAGGACGAAGAAAGUGACGGUACCUCAGGAAUAAGCCACGGCUAACUACGUGCCAGCAGCCGCGGUAAUACGUAGGUGGCAAGCGUUAUCCGGAUUUACUGGGUGUAAAGGGCGUGUAGGCGGGGACGCAAGUCAGAUGUGAAAAC